Long non-coding RNA from Mangifera indica (mango), 753 nucleotides. RefSeq lists it as uncharacterized. The transcript has 2 exons. Lineage: Eukaryota; Viridiplantae; Streptophyta; Magnoliopsida; Sapindales; Anacardiaceae. The record is from RefSeq and is a predicted model, not a curated record.
GGGAUCUUAACAGUCUCCAAGGACCCACCUAGGACAAAUCAGUUUGGAAUGCUCUUUGAGUUUGCAGAUUCUUUCUUCUGGUCAUCCUGUGGUCAUCUGCAUAGUUGUAUGUUUGCCACAACAAAAUCCUGAGAAUCUCUGCAACGCCAAUUCCUGAAACUCAUGAGAUGUUCAAUUUUGAUUUGAACAAAAUGAGCAACCGUCUUCUUUAAUGGCUGAGUGGUGGGCACAGGCUUGAACAACUUGUGUAAUAAAGGCUUAGUACUUAGAAUUCCCUCUCUUGUCGGACAAAUGCUUUUCAAAAUACUAAAAGCUUCAUGGAGGGGACACACUUAGAUAUACAGAAUGCGGGAUCAUCAUAACUCACCAACCGGGCCAUGAAAUUAGUCAAAAAAGAAGGGAACAGCAAUCAUGGUUACAGGGUCAUAGAUUCUGCUGCUUCAUUCCUAAAAAUUCAUGUUUUCACUUUGACCCUUCUAUGUGCUACUUCCAGGACUUGUUUUAUAAAUUGUAACCCAAGGCUUUUGUAUAUAGACGAGAUGUUGACCUAGUGAGAGUUGGUCAUAGUUGGUGGUUGGAUUGUUUGACCAAUGGUUGGACCUAUAAACUGUUUAGGAGAGAUAUUUAUGUCUUUUAUUUUGUUUAAGGGUUAAACUGAUAUACAUUUAGGCUUGUUUUGCCAUUUUUAGUUUGUGCGAGGACUAAAAUAAAAUUUUCUUUUAAGUGUAUGAAAACUUGAUCUAAAGACCCUAA